This 775-nucleotide ribosomal RNA is filed under the name uncultured bacterium. Its description in RNAcentral is "bacterial SSU rRNA". It matches the Rfam family "Bacterial small subunit ribosomal RNA", at positions 60 to 825 of the family's 1533-position model. The record is from RNAcentral.
AGUCGAGGGGCAGCGAGUAGAUUGCUUGCAAUCUACGUCGGCGACCGGCGCACGGGUGCGUAACGCGUAUGCAACCUACCCAUUACAGGGGGAUAACACUGAGAAAUCGGUACUAAUACCCCAUAACAUCCAGGGAGGCAUCUUCUUGGGUUGAAAACUCCGGUGGUAAUGGAUGGGCAUGCGUUGUAUUAGUUAGUUGGUGGGGUAACGGCUCACCAAGACGACGAUACAUAGGGGGACUGAGAGGUUAACCCCCCACAUUGGUACUGAGACACGGACCAAACUCCUACGGGAGGCAGCAGUGAGGAAUAUUGGUCAAUGGACGCAAGUCUGAACCAGCCAUGCCGCGUGCAGGAAGACGGCUCUAUGAGUUGUAAACUGCUUUUGUACGAGGGUAAACGCAGAUACGUGUAUCUGUCUGAAAGUAUCGUACGAAUAAGGAUCGGCUAACUCCGUGCCAGCAGCCGCGGUAAUACGGAGGAUUCAAGCGUUAUCCGGAUUUAUUGGGUUUAAAGGGUGCGUAGGCGGUCGGAUAAGUUAGAGGUGAAAUCCCGGGGCUCAACUUCGGAAUUGCCUCUGAUACUGUUCGGCUAGAGAGUAGUUGCGGUAGGCGGAAUGUAUGGUGUAGCGGUGAAAUGCUUAGAGAUCAUACAGAACACCGAUUGCGAAGGCAGCUUACCAAGCUACUUCUGACGUUGAGGCACGAAAGCGUGGGGAGCAAACAGGAUUAGAUACCCUGGUAGUCCACGCAGUAAACGAUGAUAACUCGUUGUCG